UCGGAGGUGGGCCGUCAGCGCCCUGUGG
This 28-nucleotide small RNA is filed under the name Bombyx mori (domestic silkworm). RNAcentral describes it as "ovarian small RNA-28936". Lineage: Eukaryota; Metazoa; Arthropoda; Insecta; Lepidoptera; Bombycidae. The record is from RNAcentral.